RNAcentral lists this ribosomal RNA (279 nucleotides) under uncultured Lachnospiraceae bacterium. RNAcentral's name for it is "partial 16S ribosomal RNA". It matches the Rfam family "Bacterial small subunit ribosomal RNA", at positions 64 to 339 of the family's 1533-position model. Lineage: Bacteria; Bacillati; Bacillota; Clostridia; Lachnospirales; Lachnospiraceae. The record is from RNAcentral.
UUACCGGAUUCUUCGGAUGAAGGUCUGGUGACUGAGUGGCGGACGGGUGAGUAACGCGUGGGUAACCUGCCCUGUACAGGGGGAUAACAGCUGGAAACGGCUGCUAAUACCGCAUAAGCGCACGAGGAGACAUCUCCUUGUGUGAAAAACUCCGGUGGUACAGGAUGGGCCCGCGUCUGAUUAGCUGGUUGGCAGGGUAACGGCCUACCAAGGCAACGAUCAGUAGCCGGUCUGAGAGGAUGAACGGCCACAUUGGAACUGAGACACGGUCCAAACUCC